Molecule: long non-coding RNA, 1828 nt
Filed under: Mytilus galloprovincialis (Mediterranean mussel)
Lineage: Eukaryota; Metazoa; Mollusca; Bivalvia; Mytilida; Mytilidae
Source: RNAcentral
AACUUUCAAUCUUAUAGUGUUUAAUCUGUGACUAGUCUUGGUCAUUGUUUCAAGCCAAUUUUGAAUAUGUUUAAGAAACUUUCAAAUACAUCAUUUAUGUCACUGUGAACAAUAAAAAACAUGUUGAUUUUAAACAAUUAAAGUUUGGGGAAAGCAUACAUUGGUUAUGUGAAUGAUGUUUAAAUCCAUUUAUAAAAUGUACAAUGUGCUUUUAAUUGGAAGAAAGAAAACUUUGUACAAUUGUUAAGAGAUCUGUACAUAAAGGGACUAUAGUGAUAUUGAGGAAAGUUACAUCUAGAAAUUGUACAGUUUGUAAAUUUUUAUUAUUAUUUAUGAAAAACAUUUAUUUACUUUAUUUAUUUUAUUUUAAUUAUACAUAUAUAUGAAAUGAAUAUGAUUUAUGAAUUACAUUAAUUUUAAUAUUUUAAAAGUUUACAGAUAUUGUAAAACAAUGUAUUGUUCCAUUUACAUUUAUAUUUUGACGAAGUCACAAAAGUGAGACUUAGGCUUGCUAUUUAUGGAGGAGUCGGCUUGGUCAACAAUUUGUUAAAGGUUGGGUAAGGUCAAUUUCACUCAUAUUAUGUCAAAGAUAUUUGAUAUUGGGGAGUUGACACAUUAGUUCUUUCAUUAAACUAUAGUUUGAAUGUGAAAAGUUUGUUAUUAGGUUGGUUUAAAGGAAAUCAAUUAUGGUAAGUCAUUGGCAUUUGGUAGCAUGAAGACAUCUUAUUUUACAGAGAUUAUAUGGCUUUACAUCCUCAUUCAUCAUGGCUUAAUCAAUUUUAAAGUUUUGAACAGUUUACAAACAUGCUAAAGUUUUGUCAUUUUGAUUUUUGUCUUGCCUUGAAGGAGUCAAAAAGCAAGACAUAGGUACUCUGUUUCCAGCGUCAGUGUCGGCGACAGCAAUGGCGUCAACAAUGUAUAAGUUUGUGAUUAGGUCAGUUUUAUGUGAAACUACUAGUGGUAGGUCAAUGAUAAUAGGUAUGCAGAUGUAUUACCAUUGCCACAUAGCAUUGCCAUGGAGAUUAUUUGACGUUGCCCACUCAGUCAAGGUCCAUUGACUUUGAAUGGUUUGCUUACUUUACAUUAGUUUGUGAUUAGUUCAGUUUAUGGGGAUCCAUUUGUGGUAUGUCAAUGAUAAUUGGUAUGCAGUUGUAUUAGCAUUGCCACAUCUCUUUGCCAUGGAGAUUAUUUUACUAUGCCCCCUCAGUCAUGGUCUAUUGACUCUAAUUGGUUUGCAUUAUUAAAAUUACAAAAAGGCGAGACAUAUCUCUGUGAUAACAGUUUAUCAAAUACAAUGUAUACUCAUUGUAUAAUCAAAAACUUUAUACAGGCGAGACAUUUCUUUGUGUUGACAGUUUAAUGGUAAGAAAUACUGUAUGCGAGCUGUAAUAGUGUUAAGACAGUAGAUUUAUAGUUCUGAAUCUCAGUGUAAAUGUUAUUUAUUACUAUCAACAUUUCACACUUCUGGAAUAAAUUUUAGGUUGUCAUAAAAUGAACAUUUCCUUCAUUGAGUCGAUCUAGAACUCAGAUGUACAGGUAUAACUAGCAAACUUAUAAAUUUUAUGUUUCAAAUCUAAAGCUCUUACUGUAAACAUAAGAUUUCCAUAUACAUUUCAAACAUAUUUUAUAUUUCUUUAUUUUGAAAACAUUCCAUUUUUCAUAAAUUUCCAAUAUUUUGAAAGUCUGCCAGUGGUCAAGACCAUUUGUUUUCUUAUUUAUUCAAACUUAAUUUGUUAUUUGUUUUUAUAUAUUUUAUCAAAUAUUUAUUUUAUAUUGAUUUAUUUGUAACUUAAAAUGUCCUUAAGUUCAUUUGCUCAGUCAGUCUGAG